RNAcentral lists this ribosomal RNA (281 nucleotides) under Aspergillus tamarii. RNAcentral's name for it is "partial 28S ribosomal RNA". It matches the Rfam family "Eukaryotic large subunit ribosomal RNA", at positions 351 to 650 of the family's 3401-position model. The record is from RNAcentral. Lineage: Eukaryota; Fungi; Ascomycota; Eurotiomycetes; Eurotiales; Aspergillaceae.
GAGUGAUCGAAAGAUGAAAAGCACUUUGAAAAGAGAGUUAAAAAGCACGUGAAAUUGUUGAAAGGGAAGCGCUUGCGACCAGACUCGCCUCCAGGGUUCAGCCGGCAUUCGUGCCGGUGUACUUCCCUGGGGGCGGGCCAGCGUCGGUUUGGGCGGCCGGUCAAAGGCUCCCGGAAUGUAGUGCCCUUCGGGGCACCUUAUAGCCGGGAGUGCAAUGCGGCCAGCCUGGACCGAGGAACGCGCUUCGGCACGGACGCUGGCAUAAUGGUCGCAAACGACCC